Molecule: long non-coding RNA, 1373 nt
Organism: Chlorocebus sabaeus (green monkey)
Lineage: Eukaryota; Metazoa; Chordata; Mammalia; Primates; Cercopithecidae
Source: RefSeq, a predicted model, not a curated record
CUUACUGGGCACACCCAGAGGCCACAUGUUCCAGGGUCAGAGAGACCAGGAGAAAUCCCAGCUUCUUCACUCAUGGCUGUGCAUCUUCAAGAAGGUGACUGUGCCUCUCUGAACCUCAGCCUCCUCUAUCUGACAGCACAAGGGUCUGCAAGUCUCUAGGGGCCAUGUGAGCUCCAUGGGGACCUCUCAUCUCUGCUGUGAAAGCAGCUAGGGGAAGUGCACGUGAGCUGUGUGGCCUCAUACCGACCAAGACCCUGGGGGUCACACCAGGCAGCACUGAGAAGCAGAGCAGAGGCCGCCACGGUGACCAGGGUUGCUGCUGAGACGCAGGGCAGAGGCUGCCAUGGUGACCACGGUUGCUGGCGAGACGCAGGGCAGAGGCCGCUGCAGUGACUAGGGUUGUUGCUGAGACACAAGGCAGAGGCCGCCACGGUGACCAGGGUUGCUGUCGAGAUGCAGGGCAGAGGCCACCACGGUGACCAGGGUUGCUGCCUGCCUGCCACACACCCCACUUGGGCCUCUGGCUGUCUCCUCUCCUGCAGAAACCCCAUGGGCGGGUGUGCAGCCAGCACGGAGGGAAGACGUGUGUGCCAGCAGAGAGAGCACGAGGCCUGGAGUUCUCAUCUGUGCCACCAGAAGCAGGGGACAGUGAAACGUCAUCCACAAUCACCAGGGAGACGGCUGCAUCCCAGGCAUCCCACACCAGCCCAGAAAUGUCACCGGUAAGCGCAACAGCAGACACUAGAAGAUAUGUCAUCCCUAUGCAUUAUCCAGAGAAAGUACUGGAAGGAAGCCAGCCACUGCCCAUGAGUCGGAGCAGAGGACACCCCCCUGACAUCAAGGUCUAGUGGCGACAGAAAAAUGCAGACAGAUCGAUAUGGAUGGUCAUGCUCACGUUCCUCACAGGAAACGGUGCUUCUGAACGUUCCUCACAGGAAACAGAGCUUCUAAACAUUCCAUCUUCCAAUAAGUCCAUGUCUGUUGUGUAUUGGCUGCAAAGAAAACCUCAAGGAACUAAAAAGUAGAAUAAUUUAAAUGAUCGUAUUAUCCAAAUAUUGUAAAAUAAAUAACAGAAAGUGCCACCUCUUCGCCCCAAAACUUAGAAACCAACACACUCCCAGGUAGCGCUUGGGUAAAACAGGAUAUUAAAUCUGAAUGUGUGCUCUCUGAAAAGCCAAGAAACCAUAAAUAUUGAUCCAGCGCUGAGGACUCAGCUAAUGCAGCGUCCAGAGCCCCCAGCACAGCUCUUGUUUUUUAGAGGAAACAAUAAACGGGAGGGGCUUUGUGCCAUCCUAAGAAACUAAAAUGAGAACAAGAAAGUGCAUUUUAAAAAGUAGGGAGAAUUAUGAAGAUAAAGCCAGAAAUUAAUGAAG